RNAcentral lists this ribosomal RNA (497 nucleotides) under uncultured bacterium. RNAcentral's name for it is "partial 16S ribosomal RNA". It matches the Rfam family "Bacterial small subunit ribosomal RNA", at positions 28 to 507 of the family's 1533-position model. The record is from RNAcentral.
GAUGAACGCUGGCGGCGUGCCUAAUACAUGCCAGUCGAGCGAACAGACCAGGAUCUUGCUCCUCUCACGUUAGCGGCGGACGGGUGAGUCACACGUGGAUAACCUACCUAUAAGACUGGGAUAAUCUCGGGAAACCGGCGCUAAUACCGGAUAAUAUAUUGCACCGUAUGGUGCAAUAGAGAAAGACGGUUUUGCUGUCUCUUAUAGAUGGAUCCGCGCCGCAUUAGCUAGUUGGGACGGUAACGGCUUAUCAAGGCUACGAUGCGUAGCCGACCUGAGAGGGUGAUCGGCCGCACUGGAGCUGGGACACGGUCCAGACUACUACGGGAGGCAGCAGUAGGGAAUGUUCCGCAAUGGGCGGAAGCUUGACGGAGCAGCGCCACGUGUGUGAUGAAGGUCUUCGGAUCGUAAAACUCUGUUAUUAGGGAAGAACAGAUGUGUAAGUAACUGUGCACGUCUUGACGGUACCUGAUCAGGAAGCCACGGCUAACUACGUG